Molecule: ribosomal RNA, 388 nt
Filed under: Bacillus sp. ADB_BD100
Lineage: Bacteria; Bacillati; Bacillota; Bacilli; Caryophanales; Bacillaceae
Description: bacterial SSU rRNA
Rfam family: Bacterial small subunit ribosomal RNA
Source: RNAcentral
GAGUAACACGUGGGUACCUACCCAUAAGACUGGGAUAACUCCGGGAAACCGGGGCUAAUACCGGAUAAUAUUUUGAACUGCAUAGUUCGAAAUUGAAAGGCGGCUUCGGCUGUCACUUAUGGAUGGACCCGCGUCGCAUUAGCUAGUUGGUGAGGUAACGGCUCACCAAGGCGACGAUGCGUAGCCGACCUGAGAGGGUGAUCGGCCACACUGGGACUGAGACACGGCCCAGACUCCUACGGGAGGCAGCAGUAGGGAAUCUUCCGCAAUGGACGAAAGUCUGACGGAGCAACGCCGCGUGAGUGAUGAAGGCUUUCGGGUCGUAAAACUCUGUUGUUAGGGAAGAACAAGUGCUAGUUGAAUAGCUUGGCACCUUGACGGUACCUAA